Molecule: long non-coding RNA, 7815 nt
Organism: Neoarius graeffei (lesser salmon catfish)
Lineage: Eukaryota; Metazoa; Chordata; Actinopteri; Siluriformes; Ariidae
Exons: 2
Source: RefSeq, a predicted model, not a curated record
AUAUAACAAUUGCACUGAUGAUAAUUAGUUUACAGUUAUUACAACACAUUGAUUAAUAUUGAUAAUGGUUAUGAAAGGUGACAGUUGUUUUUCUGUGUUUAAUGUAACGCUCUGAUGAUUGUAUGACUGCAUAAACAGGUUUAUGCUGUUACCUGCUAUAAUGCAGAAGAUACUCGAGAACUUCCUCAGCCAGCUGUAUACUGUACGACACUCAGACUGAUUUUGCUGUCGGACACAAAAUCACACAUCAAAGAUAAUCUUUGGGGAUUGAAAUAAUGCCGGCUAAGGUUGUUCAGCUGGUUCUACUUGCCGUUUAUUGUUUUCGUUUUUGAAAUGAUUCAUGGUGUUUUCUCCAGUAAACACCAGUCUUCUCCUUGCAGCUACAGUAGUUCUGCAGGCCCAAAACACACGACUUUGCUUCAGCUGUUUGCAUGUCUAACAGUUGCCAUUGAUGCACCCUGUUGUUCACCAAUUGUGUGCAUUCUUUUUAAAGUUAGUAAAAAAAACUAUUGCAGGAAACAAUUUUAAGUUGUCGUAUUUAUCAUUUUCUUUGCCAUGGUACAGUCUUAAUUUUUCCAUUUAGAGGUCUUGAAAAGUUCUUAAAAGUCUUUAAAUUUGUACUUGAAAAAUGUGCAGAUACCCUGGAAUGGCCUGAUAUGAGAUAUUACAGAAAUAAACGUAUUAAAUUUCAGAAGGAAUGACAUUUCACCGAUUUUUAUGAAAUUGAAAGGCAGUCUAGCUUUAACUAUUCAUAGUAGAUUUAGUAGAAGACUUCUCGACUGCCACAUUUCGAUCUAAAUCUUUUUUUUUUUGGGUGUACAAAUUAGUGUAAACCUCACAAUUGCACAGAAAAUUGACAGGUUAAUGUAACCUACCUAAUAAUUCCCACACUUCUGCUGCCUUGCCUAGCUUCUGCCUCUUGUUUUAUACAUGAACCACUCCCAUCAAAAUCACGAAAGUCUGUUUCUGUUACAAUCUUGCUUUCCGGUCUUUCUUUCAACUCUUUCCACAAUGUAGCACAUUCCUUGAUUUUUAUUAAAACGCUUUCCACUAAAAGGAAGAACUUUGCCAUCCCUGUGUCCGAAAUAACUCACUAUAUAGAGUUCGCGGUUUUGUAGUGCUGUCCGAAUGUAUAGUAAGAAUUAUUAUACCCUAUUAUAGUGUAUCCCACAAUGCACCGUGAAAAGUAGCUGGCAUGGAUUUGUGGAAGGGGUGCCAGGUGCCGCCCCCCAUCAAUUUAUAAAAAAAAAAAAGUACGGAGAUGCCCACUUUUAUUUCUUUUUUUUUUUUAAGUUAAGAUUUUUCAAAAAUAAACCAUUAAGUGGGAUUGAGCUGAAGAGUUUAUGGUAUAAAUUUAUAUUUAAUAGUAGCUCCAAGCUUGGGUAUUUUUCGCUCAUGACAUGAAUACAGUGAAAAGUGAGCUGGGUGAGUCCUGUUGGAUUUUAACAGGGCAUGGGAACUUCGUGCAUCGACAUAACAUUGUGGGGAAAUAAGGCCAGCAGCACGGUGGUAUAGAGCAGGGAUCGACCAAUAUGUUUUUUUCAGGGCCAAUACCGAUACCGAUUAUUAUGGAAUUGGGAUGCCGAUAACCGAUAUGUGCAACCGAUAAAUGUAAACAUUAUAAUUCACAUGAAAUUAAACAUAGCACACACUGACACAGACCUUCAUGUCCAUGAAAUGUAUGUUUAAUUGUAAAAUUGAACAUGAAAUUUUGUGCAGGGAGAUGCCAGCAGCAUUUGUACAAUAAAGUCAAACAUUAGUUAGAAUAAAAUGAGAAAUAAAAUAAUAAUAAAAUAAAUAUUCACCAAUAAAAAAAUGAAUCACUCCCUACUAUAUUACAGCUCACCAUUUUCAGUGGAAAAUAAAUGAAAAUACACUCUGGAUUCUUUUACACUAAGAACUAAGUAAGACUUACCAACUUCAAGUAGUUUUUAAAUAACAAAUCAAGUGUAGGGAGCUGCCUGCAGCAUUUUUUAAAAAGUAAAAUCAAACAUAAAGUCGGCUAUCACUCCCUAUUAUGUAACAACUUAACAAGUAACCAUCUACAUUCUAAUGCUUUUAAUGCCCAAGCCUAAUAUUCCCAAUUUAGGAGGAUUAUAUUGUAGUGAAGGAAGCAUUACAUGUAGUUUCAGCGAGACUAGUUGGUUGUAGGCUAAUUCAUGUGCUUCCUUCCGUAAGCUAAGUUUGCCUGGCUACACAGAUGCAAAUGGACAAUUUUAACGAGUAGUAGAUGAAGAAUGUAAACAUAUAAUGAUGUUGUGCUUUUGCAACUUGUGUGUGUGUGUGACUUAUUUAAGUCUCGGCUGAAAACAUAUCUGUUUAGUCAAGCCUUUUGUUAAUGGUGUUUAUGAGGUAAAGGUGUAGAUCUAGAGGGUCCUCAGACAUAGAGUGUUUUGGUAAACUGGGAUGUAUGGAUGCUGUCAGUCCCCACUCGCUUGCUCACUCGAGUUUGUUGACGGUGUAGUGGCUGGCUGCUUUAUGUCCCGGGGCUCCCUCAUGGCUGUGUUACCUUCUGGCUCUCUCCUUUUAGUUAUGCUGUCAUAGUUAGUUGCCGGAGUCCCUGCUUGUACUCGGUGCAAUAUGUACACUGCUCCUACUUAUUCAGGUGACAUUGGGCAUACCUAACAACCUGUGUUUUCUUUCCCUCCCCCUCCCACCCCAAAUCUGUCCCUCUGAGUUACAUGGAGUCAACAAGAAAUCUUUUGGUGGAGAGGGUGGAGACUAGGGCUGUGCGAUGUCCCCUUAAUUGGCAUCGACGAUGUUUACAGUGCAAACAUCGUGAUGGACGAUCAUAUCGUGGGGGGGAUUUUAAUACCACAUUAUUAAAUAUAAUAUUAUUAUUAUUAUUAUUAUUAUUAUUAUUAUUAUUAAAAGUAUUAGAUACUCAUCCGAGGCUUUGGCACGUUAAGAAAAAAAAGCGCUAGGUGAUGUGGAAUAUUUGGCCUUGAUAACGGAUAUGUGGUCCAGCUGCAACAUGAUGCCCUAUAUGUCAGCUACCGUACAUUAUGUGGACCGAGAGUGGGCAAUGCAGUCCAAAUGCCUGCAGACGAGUUUCAUGCCAGAGACACAUUCAGCGGACAAUUCAGAAGACGCAUUGCGCGAGACACUUGCCGAAUGGAAAAUAGAGGAGAAAAAGAUCGCCUAUAUAACAACGGGGCGAACAUUGUCACAGCCAUCAGGCAAUUGAAAUGGCCGUGGUUAAGUUGUUUUGAGCACAAUUUGAACCUGGCCAUAACCAACUCGCUUGCGCAACAGAGGGCCAGUACAGACCGAGCGUUUGGAGUUUGCCGAGCAGUCAACACUGCGUUUGCGCACAGCUGGCUUCGGAGAAAUGAGCUGCGCAAAGCGCAGGUGGAAAUGAACCUCCCCGAGCACUCACUGGUCACGGUAAGAUAUUAAUCUGCUCUAACAAUGAAAGACUAGUAUUCAAACUAUGAGAAGAAACUACACAUAAGCUAUUACUCAUUGUUUAUUUACACCAUAUCAAUUGAAGAUGCGUUUCGGCCUUUAGUGCGCACUUGAACGCGCUAAUUUUUCCAAUUUAUUAGUGUUUGAAUUAUUGCACCAGCUUUUAAAAUCAUGAUUUAAUAUUGUUUUUUUUUUUACUGUCUUUACAUUUGUCAGAAUCACCUUCAUUCUUCCAUUUGGUUUGACAUUAUGGCUUAGAGUGGACCAUUUUGGAGUCUGAAAGUAGGCCUAUUUACCAGAUUAAAGUUAUUUGACUUCUGCCGAAGUCUGCGCUUCACUGCCGUUUGAUAAGGUGAAAUAUUUCCCGACUGUUAAUAGUGGCUAUUUGUUUGAACAACAUGACAAAUUUUACAUUAAAAGUAUAGUGUAGGCUAAAAAAUGAAGUCAAAAUUUAUUAUUAGUAGCAUACUGUAUUUGUGUAACCACGUUAUGUUCACUAGCACGUCCCUGCACCAUAGCCUACGUGAACAAGCGGUAAUAGGAUAUUACUUUAUAAUGAUUUAUAUAAUUAUGUAUUUAUAAUAUGUUAUAUAUUUAUAUAUUAAACAAAACUAACUAACUAAACUAACAAAAAACUAACUUUUUAGGUUAAAUAGGCCCAGAUGAUACCGUAUAUGCAUGAUUAUGACAGGAGGGGGCGUGGUAUCACGAUGGUGGCUCUCCAUCGUGAUGGAUGACCACCAUCGUCGAUGGACGAUGGCAUCGUCUAUCGGCACAGCCCUAGUGGAGACCUCGACUGGCUAUUGUAGCCUGCAGGGAAUCGGCCGUCAGACUUUCUGUCGCAUGUCCCAGACCCGGUGAAAUGUCACUGAAUUGUCUUGGCCAGCCCGAAGGGUCCUGUGAUCCUGUGGGUCAAUGAUGAGAUGCAGUCCAGAUGGCUGCAUCUCAUCAUUGCUGAGGAGUGUGCUCCCAUCACCCAAUCAAGCAUCCAGCCAGAGCAGGUCAUGAUAUAUUUUUUACCAUAUUAACAUGCCAUUGUUGUGUGUUAUGCCUGAUGUAAAGACUCUCGUCUCUGCGAGCCUACUACACAGAUUUAAUACUUGUCAUUUUUAGGGCAUACCUAACAACAUGUGUUUUCUUUCUCUCUCUCCCCCCCCCCCAAUCUGUCCCUCUGGGUUGCAUGUUGGUCCUGGGAUUGAGGUGCUGGCCUCUUCUGCCCCUCGGACCUGCUUGGUCCAUCCUGGUGCCCUGUGUCUGGUCGGAGUUUUAUCGCACCGCUCCUGUGAAGGACGGCCCCAUGAGGACAGUUGAGGGUUAUACCUGGAGAAUGCUCUGGACUCUUACAGUAAUGCUUUUAUGGCUGAGGACUACAGUUGUCUUGCUAACUUUAGGACUGCAGUUAUCAUGAACAGUUUUGCACUCAAGUUUCCAUCAAUAAAGAGUUAUAACAUCAACGAAACUGUCCUCAUGUUAAAACUGUUAAUAUUAUAGUCAGGCUGUCUGUUGUUGCCCAAAUGAGGAUGGGUUCCCUUUUGAGUCUGGUUCCUCUCGAGGUUUCUUCCUCAUGUCGUCUGAGGGAGUUUUUCCUUGCCACCGUCGCCACAGGCUUGCUCAUUGGGGAUAGAUGAGGGAUAAAAUUAGCUCAUGUUUUAAGUCGUUCAAAUUCUGUAAAGCUGCUUUGCGACAAUGUUUAUUGUUAAAAGCGCUAUACAAAUAAACUUGACUUGACUUAUUGCGGCAAAAGCAGCAUGUCCUUACCUUGAAGUGGGAUCUGGUUCUGCCCGAGUGCCCGUACGGCCGCCUUGAAACAGUUCACAGCGUUUAGCUACGCAUGUUGAUUGGCUGUAUCCCUUGUGCCGCUUCUGCCUGAGUGCCUGUACGGCCGCCUUGAAACAGUUCACAGCAUUUAGCUACACGUGUCGAUUGGCUAUAUCUUUUGUGCCAAACAAAUCAGAUGUUGUGGGGGGCGGGACCGUGUUCUUGAACUCAGAGACGCGAGUGCAGGAAAGUACGUGCAGUGAGAGUCGCGUUAGGAACUAAAUGGAUGCAAAAAGUCAUGUUAUCGGCAUAUCGGUGGAAAUUAUGGCCGAUACCGAUAACCCUAAAAAUGCAGAAUAUCGGCCCGAUAUAUCGGCCAGGCCGAUUAUCGGUCGACCCCUAGUAUAGAGGAUGUGCAGUCACGUGACCCGUCCGUGUUUACUCCGCCAUAUUGGACGGUUUCAGAUUUGUUUACCUUGCGAGAGCGUAAUGGAUCCAGGGAGUAAUCCCCAAGAAAAUUCGAAAAAUACCCAUCUACAUCGUGCGAUAACUUGUCUAAGUUUGUUCAGCAUCAUGAAGGUGACGUGAGGCAGCGUUACGUGGAAAAGUGUUCCAGGUUGGGGAUUGCAGAGCCGUACAACUUGCCGCAAUCCUUGUUCAGGGAAAUUCGGAGCUGCGGUGCCGGCGAUUUGCCCGAUCUGGCCUACCACGACAUUUACAAUUUUCUUGUUAAUCGUGAAUCGUGUUACACUGGCAAAGCCCUCAAAGCUUACAAGAGCCUGGAAGCUUAUAAAUAUUUUGUUGCGGGAUGGGUAUCCCAACUAUACCUCUGGAAGGUUCCGAAGAAGAAUGUCUACUUGAUAACCUCACGGGUAAGUGGCAUUAAGACGUUUAUCAUAAAGAGACUAUGCAGGACAUUUUAUCGUAAGAAUGUUCGAAAUCUAAACUCAGUUCCAGAUAAUGACAGGGUUGUAAAUAUGUAUGUUUUUGUCUGAAAAAAAAAAUCACAAAUCACCGGCUAUGCAGUUAUCAUUCAAUCCGAAAAUCAACUUAACAGAUGCACUAGGAGUAUUGAAUUAGAAGAUUACACCUACCUGAUAUGUUCACUACAAAUUCGGCUGGUAGAACUGGGGUACCAGUUUUCUCUUCGCACAGCGGACACCCAUUUUGCGCGUCUCUCCUCGUCUGCGGGGAAUCUAUAAAAUGACAGGCCCUCCUUUUGGCCCUGUCUAUUGGUACAACCAAAUGCUGAACAAGAUAUAACCAUUCUCGAAAGAUCUACUCCCACACACUUGAUAAUUAGAACGGGCUCAUCUAAGUUCUAUGCACGGCCAUGCCGUCCAAGAUGGCAGAUAAAUAGUGCAUGUGCACGCUCUCUAGUGGCUAGCACUGUCACCUCACAGCAAGAAGGUCCUGGGUUUCUUCUGUGGAGAAAGCAGUUUUUCCCACAGUCUAAAGCAGAGGUGGGCAAACUACGGCCUGCGGGCCACAUCCGGCCCGCGGAAGACAAUCAUAUAAACACGAUUGAGCAGAUCUAUAAAUUAUAAGCGUCAGUGUUAUCACGUAGACAGGUGUUCUAGAGAUCCGUCUUUCCAGUCAGUCGUAUUCACGCGAGAUUACAUUUGCAGAGUGGUGCAGCGUGUGCCAUGGAAGUCAUUCUGGCGCCCGUGCCACUGAUGAUCUGGAGAACACAGGAUAAAACUUUACAAUGAGUGGUCCUAAAAAAAGAAAAGUGGACAGUGAGUGCAGGGUGUUCAAUAAAGAAUGGACAACUAAAUAUUUUUUUGCUGAAGUCCGAUCAAAGGCUGUAUGCCUUAUUUGCAAAGAAACCGCUGCAGUUUUAAAGGAAUAUAACAUCAAACGGCACUUUUCCUCCAAGCAUGCUAAUUAUGCUAACAACCAGUCAGCGCAAGAACGGACGAAUACAGCUCAGCGGUUGCUGAGUGAAUGUGUAUUAUGAGCAGCUGACCUUGCUUCUGCUUAUAUCUGUUCCUGGACUUUUGCCUGUGGAGGUUAUUCUGAUCUAUGAGUGGCCUUUUGGAAUAUGAAAACCUGUUUGGAACCUGUGUUUUGAUUUUUUGAGGACUGGAAAUAUUUCAGUGAGUGACUUUGAACCUGAAAACCAGUUUGGAGUUUUUUGCUUUCUUGAGCUUUUUUGUUUGAUUUUGUGGGCUGGAUGGAUCCAGUGCCAAACCACUGAACUGCAAACAUGUUGGCAUGGUGUGGUACCCAAACUGUUGAACUGCAAACAUUUUGGAAUGGUGUGGUACCUCUCCUACUAAUGGUGGUUGGUUGUACUGGCAGGCUGGAAGUGGAUGGUUAAAAAAAAAAAACACUCAGGUGUAAAUCUACGAGUUCAGUGAAAUGUACAAAAAUGAUAUGUACCGAUAUGUAAUUUAGUUCAAUUUAAUGAUAUGCAAUUUAGUUGUAUGUAUAAAAUGAUACAAAUAUACAAAUACACUGGCAUCCUACUCAUCCUGGCAGCUCAAAGAUGUAAUUUAAGAAUUAAGUGUGCUACUUUUCUUACUGUCACGUGUGUGUGUGUGUUACUUUUCUGGAUGGAUCCAGUGCCAAUCUAUUGAACUGCAAGCAUUUUUCUGCUCUGCCUUUGUUGACUGAGAACUAAAAUAAAUGUCAAUCUGAUCUGCA